UUGUCGUCAGCUCGUGUCGUGAGAUGUUGGUUAAGUCCGCAACGAGCGCAACCCUCGACCUUAGUUGCCAGCAUUCAGUUGGGCACUCUAAGGUGACUGCCGGCUAAAAGUCGGAGGAAGGUGGGGAUGACGUCAAAUCAUCAUGCCCCUUAUGACCUGGGCUACACACGUGCUACAAUGGGCGGUACAAAGGGUCGCGAACCCGCGAGGGGGAGCCAAUCCCAAAAAGCCGCUCUCAGUUCGGAUUGCAGGCUGCAACUCGCCUGCAUGAAGCCGGAAUCGCUAGUAAUCGCGGAUCAGCAUGCCGCGGUGAAUACGUUCCCGGGCCUU
Molecule: ribosomal RNA, 330 nt
Filed under: uncultured Anoxybacillus sp.
Lineage: Bacteria; Bacillati; Bacillota; Bacilli; Caryophanales; Anoxybacillaceae
Description: bacterial SSU rRNA
Rfam family: Bacterial small subunit ribosomal RNA
Source: RNAcentral